GAGCACACUGAUUUCCUGGCG
This 21-nucleotide non-coding RNA is filed under the name Arabidopsis thaliana (thale cress). Lineage: Eukaryota; Viridiplantae; Streptophyta; Magnoliopsida; Brassicales; Brassicaceae. The record is from RNAcentral.